This is a non-coding RNA of Ordospora colligata OC4, 72 nucleotides long. NCBI's taxonomy places the organism in Eukaryota, Fungi, Microsporidia, Ordosporidae. The record is from the annotation of a RefSeq genome assembly.
AAUUGCCAAGAAGAGUUGUUUCUUGAACACAAGGAACUCGCAGCAUAUGAAACUUUCAUUUGGAUGCUCAUC